AAUGAACGCUGGCGGCGCGCCUAAUACAUGCAAGUCGAGCGAGAAGACGUAGCAAUACGUUUGUAAAGCGGCGAACGGGUGAGGAAUACAUGGGUAACCUACCCUCGAGUGGGGAAUAACUAGCCGAAAGGUUAGCUAAUACCGCGUACGCUUCUUGGACUUCGGUUCAGGGAGGAAAGCGAUGCCGAGGGUAUCGCGCUCUUGGAUGGGCUCAUGUCCUAUCAGCUUGUUGGNGAGGUAACGGCUCACCAAGGCUUCGACGGGUAGCUGGUCUGAGAGGACGAUCAGCCACACUGGCACUGCGACACGGGCCAGACUCCUACGGGAGGCAGCAGUAAGGAAUAUUGCGCAAUGGGCGAAAGCCUGACGCAGCGACGCCGCGUGGGGGAUGAAGGUCUUCGGAUUGUAAACCCCUUUCGGGAGGGAAGAUGGAAUGGGGUAACCCGAUUCGGACGGUACCUCCAGAAGCAGCCACGGCUAACUUCGUGCCAGCCGCCGCGGU
RNAcentral lists this ribosomal RNA (502 nucleotides) under uncultured bacterium. RNAcentral's name for it is "bacterial SSU rRNA". It matches the Rfam family "Bacterial small subunit ribosomal RNA", at positions 29 to 521 of the family's 1533-position model. The record is from RNAcentral.